Molecule: ribosomal RNA, 253 nt
Filed under: uncultured bacterium
Lineage: Bacteria
Description: partial 16S ribosomal RNA
Rfam family: Bacterial small subunit ribosomal RNA
Source: RNAcentral
UACGUAGGGUCCGGGCGUUGUCCGGAAUUACUGGGCGUAAAGAGCUCGUAGGUGGUUUGUCGCGUUGUUCGUGAAAACUCACAGCUCAACUGUGGGCGUGCGGGCGAUACGGGCAGACUGGAGUACUGCAGGGGAGACUGGAAUUCCUGGUGUAGCGGUGGAAUGCGCAGAUAUCAGGAGGAACACCGGUGGCGAAGGCGGGUCUCUGGGCAGUAACUGACGCUGAGGAGCGAAAGCGUGGGGAGCGAACAGG